This 781-nucleotide long non-coding RNA is filed under the name Nicotiana benthamiana. Its description in RNAcentral is "long non-coding RNA (NBEN_LNC042641)". Lineage: Eukaryota; Viridiplantae; Streptophyta; Magnoliopsida; Solanales; Solanaceae. The record is from RNAcentral.
CUUUACGACCCAGGCACAAUAUCAAGUUAUCUUGUGGUAUAAUCAAUAGGCUUUCAACCUCAUAUCAAUCCACCUUGAGGCGUACAACUCAGGCCCUCGGCCUCAUAUUCAUAAUAAGUACAACGUUGCUGUGGCGUGCAAUGCGAUCCCAUAAUAAUCCUUACAACACAGGCCCUCGGCUCUAGUCAGUCAGAAAUCUCUAAAAGCCACUCGGGCACAGUAAAAUAUGAUGUUCAACCCAAAAUAUCAUUUAAAGUAUUAAAACAGAGUAAUUAUGGCUAAGUUAUGAAAAGUAUAAUAUAGCAUGAUUAAGUACAAAUAUAAAAUCAAAACAGUGAAAAAAUAACAGUAAAAAUCCCCUAAGGGUCCAAAAAGUUGGCACGAGGGCCAAAUAUGACAUUCAGCCCAAAACAUGAUGAUAACAUAUAGUUUUUAAUCAAAUACUGUAAACAGUUAUUCAAUACGGACCAAGUCAUAGUCCCUCAUGGUGCACGAACCCACACUCGUCAUCUAGCAUGUGCGUCACCUCAUAAUAGCACAACGAUGUGAAGUUUGGGGUUUUAUACCCUCAAGGACAAUAUUUACAAUCAUUACUCACCUCAAUCCGGUCCAAACUCUAAACAGCAAUGCGUUUGCCUCUCGACUCGGCCUCCGAAUGCUCCAAAUCUAACCAACUCAGUAUAUAACCAUCAAAAUAUGCUAAGGGAACUAAGCCCACUCAAAAGAAUUAAAAAUACAAUGCAAAUCCUAAAAUUGGCAAAAACCCGAACCCCGGGGCCCA